GCCUUGCGCCCAUUGCUUAUUUUACCGUCCGCCAUGACCCACCUUCUUAAAAGCCUGCCUUUCUUCCCAACUUAAAGGCCGUUCCAACCGCAAGGCUUUCUUCACACACCGCGGGAAUGGGAUGAGCUCAGGGCUUCCAUCCCAUCAGUCAAUAAAUUCCCCAUAGGAUGCCUAACCGGA
RNAcentral lists this ribosomal RNA (180 nucleotides) under uncultured Gammaproteobacteria bacterium. RNAcentral describes it as "partial 16S ribosomal RNA". The record is from RNAcentral. Lineage: Bacteria; Pseudomonadati; Pseudomonadota; Gammaproteobacteria.